AUCUGUAAUUUUGUCAUCUGUGUGCAGUGGAUGCAGGUGCAAGAGACCUGGUUUUGUUUUGUUCCAAGAGAAUAGGAGCUGUUUGAAAGAGGCAGGGUGUGUUGCUGUCACAAGACAGUAAUUUAUAUUAAGUUACAUAUUAAUGCAUUUGUUCCAGCACAAAUCUCUGCAGGGGGCAACUGAUCUAUUGAGUAGUUGGGAGAAACCUCAGGAACUAAGGAGGGAUCCCCGUGGUAUGAUCUGUGAUGAGACCAUCUGAGACGUUCUUAUUCAUGACCCUCUAACGUCUACCGACCAACUCAACAUGACCCUGUCGGUGCUCCGUGAUGAUAUCCAGUAAAGAUGCUGUGGAGUCUGUUGUUCAUCUCUCUGAUUGCUCUCUGCAACACACAACGCUUAACACUGAAUGCGACAACAACAUCACAGUCAUCAACCUACACACAUAAUGUCAUCUUCUCCUCUGAAAGAGCUACUGAUGGGGAUAAGACAGAAUGUUCUAUCACUCGGGAAUUAAAGGACUCCUGGUGGAGAAUUGACCUACUGGUUGUCUGCAACAUUUCUUGUAUCACUAUCUACAACACAGCUGCGGUCAACACUGACAUAAGCGGUGCUCAGAUCCACAUUGGAAGCUCGCGUGAAAACAACGGCAUCACUAACAGCAUAUGUGAAAACAUCACAAACUUUAAACAAAACGAGUGGAAUAACUUCACAUGUAAUACAACCAUGUUGGGGCGCUACAUCACUGUCUUCUAUCCAGGAAAUAAACCGUUAAUUCUGUGUGAAGUGAUGAUCUACGGCACAAUAACAGAUCCACCCUUUGUGCUGAUCAAUGAGAGUAAGACGUGGGAAGAGGCCCUGUACUACUGCAGGGACAAUUACAUGGACCUGGCUUCCAUCGUUGAUGAAGACACCCAGGCCUGGGCUGAGCUGGAGGCCAAGAAGGCCAACACUCCCUUUGUGUGGCUGGGCCUUCACUACACCUGCACCCUGGAGUUCUGGUUCUGGGUCGAUGACCAGCGCCUAGACUUCAAUCGCUGGAAACCAGAGAAGAAAACAGGAGAUUGUGGCAUGAGUGGUGCCAUGGAGACACGAGAGGAACAUCUCUGGUUCAGCACCUCUGACCACGAGACGUUUAAUUUCAUCUGUGCAAAGUAAGAGAAAUCAAUGUUUUGUUUUUCUCAGCUGCUAUAAAAAAAUGUAACGGUGGUGACAUUGUUGUGUUGUGACAACGUCUCUCAUAUGUGUCACAGGUGAUGGGUUCAGGCCCAGAGCAGCAGCUUUCCAGAUAAAAGGGAUGGAAUGAAGCACAGAGCAUUUCCUCACUAAAUGUGACUUACAACAACACAUAUCACUUGCUUUUUUAGUAAUUGCAACAGUUUAUGGAAUUAGUGUCAAUGUAUCCUACAUUUGUAAUUUAUGAUACUUUGAUACAAUGAUUAUAUGAUGAUGUUGUAAGACUUCUGCUUCCAUUGUCUUAUAAUGUAAUCAUUGAUAUGAGAACUGGGAAAACAUUUUUUAUUCUAUUCUUGAAACUGGAUUCUUGGGAUUUAAAUGGCCUGUCAAUAUUAUAUUAAUAAAUUCAGAUUCUGGGAAAAAAAAAACAAAUUCCUAAAUGCUUUUGAUGUCUCAGAAAAUUUACAGAAAUGAAAAAAAUUAAUUUCUAUUCAUAUUAAAUAAGUUUUAUGUGGCCACAUAUGUUUUGUAAACCUACACUUGCAUACUUCAAUAAGUCUCUUUGAAUGAUAUUUACUGUAUAUGUCAUUUCCUCUGAAUGUAUAGGGAAUAUGUGGAAGAACUGCUUAAUGUAUGUAUUAAUAUAUGGGUUGACAUUUUUUGGUGGGGCACGCUAUGAAGAUGCAAAUUUGCCUUUCUUUAUUAUUGUUUUUGGAAUACCAAAUCAAGUCUAAAUAAAAGUUGAUGUGUUUGAACAAUUAAUUCUCUUUAGGGGCGUGUCCAAGUAGCGGCUGGUGAUGCCCCAUUAUCUUAGACUGUGAUUGGAUACCUGAAUGGUCAGAGGCGGGACCUUAGUUUGUAUUCGAGUAUUUU
Molecule: RNA transcript, 2046 nt
Organism: Micropterus dolomieu (smallmouth bass)
Lineage: Eukaryota; Metazoa; Chordata; Actinopteri; Centrarchiformes; Centrarchidae
Exons: 7
Source: RefSeq, a predicted model, not a curated record